RNAcentral lists this ribosomal RNA (704 nucleotides) under Eriocrania sp. ER07. RNAcentral describes it as "SSU rRNA". It matches the Rfam family "Eukaryotic small subunit ribosomal RNA", at positions 493 to 1152 of the family's 1831-position model. Lineage: Eukaryota; Metazoa; Arthropoda; Insecta; Lepidoptera; Eriocraniidae. The record is from RNAcentral.
AUAUGAGGCCUCGUAAUCGGAAUGAGUACACUUUAAAUACUUUAACGAGGAACAAUUGGAGGGCAAGUCUGGUGCCAGCAGCCGCGGUAAUUCCAGCUCCAAUAGCGUAUACUAAAAUUGUUGCGGUUAAAAAGCUCGUAGUUGCACCUGUGCGCCGCGCUGUCGGUGCACCGCAUCCGCGGUGACCACUGGCACGUCGCGGGGCAUCGCGUCGGUGAGACUCCGGUAAAACGGAGGCUCAAUUGAAACGAUCCUAUCGCGGUGCUCUUAACCGAGUGUCGAGGUGGGCCGACAAUACUUACUUUGAACAAAUUAGAGUGCUCAAAGCGGGCUAAAAACGCCGCUCGAAUAUUUUUUGCAUGGAAUAAUGGAAUACGACCUCGGUUCUAUUUUGUUGGUUCUCGGAAUCCGAGGUAAUGAUCAAUAGGAACAACUGGGGGCAUUCGUAUUGCGACGUUAGAGGUGAAAUUCUUGGAUCGUCGCAAGACGGACUACAGCGAAAGCAUUUGCCAAAGGUGUUUUCAUCAAUCAAGAACGAAAGUUAGAGGUUCGAAGGCGAUUAGAUACCGCCCUAGUUCUAACCAUAAACGUUGCCACCUGGCGAUCCGCCGACGUUACUAUAAUGGCUCGGCGGGCGGCCUCCGGGAAACCAAAGUUUUUGGGCUCCGGGGGGAGUAUGGUUGCAAAGCUGAAACUUAAAGGAA